RNAcentral lists this small RNA (107 nucleotides) under Marmota monax (woodchuck). Lineage: Eukaryota; Metazoa; Chordata; Mammalia; Rodentia; Sciuridae. The record is from RNAcentral.
GCUGGGCAUGCAGGUGCAUGCCUGUAAUCCCAGCUAUUCAAGAGGCUGAGACAAAAGGAUCACAUGUUCAAGGCCAGCCUGGACAACUUAGUGAGACCUUGUUUCAA